UCGAGAAUCUUCGGCAAUGGGCGCAAGCCUGACCGAGCGACGCCGCGUGGAGGACGAAGGCCUUCGGGUUGUAAACUCCUGUCGAGGGGGAAGAAGGGGUAACACCUUGACUGAUCCCUGGAGGAAGCACGGGCUAAGUUCGUGCCAGCAGCCGCGGUAAGACGAACCGUGCGAACGUUAUUCGGAAUCACUGGGCUUAAAGCGCGUGUAGGCGGAACGGCACGUCGGUCGCUGAAAUCCCCCGGCUCAACCGGGGAACGGGCGCCGAUACGACCGUUCUCGAGGGACGUAGGGGGACCUGGAACUUCCGGUGGAGCGGUGAAAUGCGUUGAGAUCGGAAGGAACGCCCGUGGCGAAAGCGAGGUCCUGGACGUUUUCUGACGCUGAGACGCGAAAGCCAGGGGAGCGAACG
Molecule: ribosomal RNA, 412 nt
Filed under: uncultured Planctomycetaceae bacterium
Lineage: Bacteria; Pseudomonadati; Planctomycetota; Planctomycetia; Planctomycetales; Planctomycetaceae
Description: partial 16S ribosomal RNA
Rfam family: Bacterial small subunit ribosomal RNA
Source: RNAcentral